UGUAAACAAUUACAUAGUGAAACUGCGAAUGGCUCAUUAUAUAAGUUAUCGUUUAUUUGAUAGUUCCUUACUACUUGGAUAACCGUGGUAAUUCUAGAGCUAAUACAUGCUAAAAACCCCGACUUCGGAAGGGGUGUAUUUAUUAGAUUAAAAACCAAUGCCCUUCGGGGCUCACUGGUGAUUCAUAAUAACUUCUCGAAUCGCAUGGCCUUGCGCCGGCGAUGGUUCAUUCAAAUUUCUUCCCUAUCAACUUUCGAUGCUAGAGUAGUGUUCUAGCAUGGUUACAACGGGUAACGGAGGGUUAGGGCUCGACCCCGGAGAAGGAGCCUGAGAAACGGCUACUACAUCCAAGGAAGGCAGCAGGCGCGCAAAUUACCCAAUCCCGACACGGGGAGGUAGUGACGAUAAAUACUGAUACAGGGCUCUUUUGGGUCUUGUAAUUGGAAUGAGUACAAUUUAAAUCCCUUAACGAGGAACAAUUGGAGGGCAAGUCUGGUGCCAGCAGCCGCGGUAAUUCCAGCUCCAAUAGCGUAUAUUAAAGUUGUUGUGGUUAAAAAGCUCGUAGUAGAACCUUGGGCCUGGCUGGCCGGUCCGCCUCACCGCGUGCACUGGUCCGGCCGGGCCUUUCCCUCUGUGGAACCGCAUGCCCUUCACUGGGUGUGCCGGGGAAACAGGACUUUUACUUUGAAAAAAUUAGAGUGCUCCAGGCAGGCCUUUGCUCGAAUACAUUAGCAUGGAAUAAUAGAAUAGGACGUGUGGUUCUAUUUUGUUGGUUUCUAGGACCGCCGUAAUGAUUAAUAGGGACAGUCGGGGGCAUCAGUAUUCAAUUGUCAGAGGUGAAAUUCUUGGAUUUAUUGAAGACUAACUACUGCGAAAGCAUUUGCCAAGGAUGUUUUCAUUUAUCAGGAACGAAAGUUAGGGGAUCGAAGACGAUCAGAUACCGUCGUAGUCUUAACCAUAAACUAUGCCGACUAGGGAUCGGACGAUGUUAUUUUUUGACUCGUUCGGCACCUUACGAGAAAUCAAAGUGCUUGGGCUCCAGGGGGAGUAUGGUCGCAAGGCUGAAACUUAAAGAAAUUGACGGAAGGGCACCACCAGGGGUGGAGCCUGCGGCUUAAUUUGACUCAACACGGGGAAACUCACCAGGUCCAGACACAAUGAGGAUUGACAGAUUGAGAGCUCUUUCUUGAUUUUGUGGGUGGUGGUGCAUGGCCGUUCUUAGUUGGUGGAGUGAUUUGUCUGCUUAAUUGCGAUAACGAACGAGACCUUAACCUGCUAAAUAGCCCGUAUUGCUUUGGCAGUACGCCGGCUUCUUAGAGGGACU
Molecule: ribosomal RNA, 1324 nt
Filed under: Colletotrichum salicis
Lineage: Eukaryota; Fungi; Ascomycota; Sordariomycetes; Glomerellales; Glomerellaceae
Description: SSU rRNA
Rfam family: Eukaryotic small subunit ribosomal RNA
Source: RNAcentral